GACGAACGCUGGCGGCGUGCUUAACACAUGCAAGUCGAACGGAAAGGCCCUGCUUUUGUGGGGUGCUCGAGUGGCGAACGGGUGAGUAACACGUGAGUAACCUGCCCUUGACUUUGGGAUAACUUCAGGAAACUGGGGCUAAUACCGGAUAGGAGCUCCUGCUGCAUGGUGGGGGUUGGAAAGUUUCGGCUGUUGGGGAUGGACUCGCGGCUUAUCAGCUUGUUGGUGGGGUAGUGGCUUUCCAAGGCUUUGACGGGUAGCCGGCCUGAGAGGGUGACCGGCCACAUUGGGACUGAGAUACGGCCCAGACUCCUACGGGAGGCAGCAGUGGGGAAUAUUGCACAAUGGGCGGAAGCCUGAUGCAGCAACGCCGCGUGCGGGAUGACGGCCUUCGGGUUGUAAACCGCUUUCGCCUGUGACGAAGCGUGAGUGACGGUAAUGGGUAAAGAAGCACCGGCUAACUACGUG
This 468-nucleotide ribosomal RNA is filed under the name uncultured bacterium. RNAcentral's name for it is "partial 16S ribosomal RNA". It matches the Rfam family "Bacterial small subunit ribosomal RNA", at positions 28 to 507 of the family's 1533-position model. The record is from RNAcentral.